UUUCCGUAGGUGAACCUGCGGAAGGGUCAUUAUUGAAUAACCGUGGUGUGGGGGGUGUCGCUGUCUAGACAGGUCGUGACCGCCCGCGUGCCGUCACACACAUCCAUCUCACACCUAUGUAAAUUACUGCGAGGGUCAACACUUGGAAUAAUCGGAGGGGGGGUUACGUUUUCACACAAAAUUGGAAUACAGCGUAGAAUGUCAUUUUUGUUUUUCCGACCACCCUAUCAAUAUAAUUUUCAACAACGGACUUCUUGGCUCUCGAAUUGAUGACGAACG
Molecule: unclassified non-coding RNA, 279 nt
Filed under: plant metagenome
Description: partial contains small subunit ribosomal RNA, internal transcribed spacer 1, and 5.8S ribosomal RNA
Source: RNAcentral